RNAcentral lists this ribosomal RNA (520 nucleotides) under uncultured bacterium. Its description in RNAcentral is "bacterial SSU rRNA". It matches the Rfam family "Bacterial small subunit ribosomal RNA", at positions 17 to 518 of the family's 1533-position model. The record is from RNAcentral.
UCCUGGCUCAGAUUGAACGCUGGCGGCGUGCUUAACACAUGCAAGUCGAACGUGAAAGGGGCUUCGGCCCUAAGUAAAGUGGCGCACGGGUGAGUAACACGUGGAUAAUCUGCCCUUAUGAUCGGGAUAACAGUCGGAAACGGCUGCUAAUACCGGAUACGCUCAAAAUGAACUUUUUUGAGGAAAGGUGACCUCUGCUUGCAAGUUACUGCAUGAGGAUGAGUCCGCGGCCCAUUAGCUAGUUGGUAGGGUAACGGCCUACCAAGGCAACGAUGGGUAGCCGAUUUGAGAGGAUGAUCGGCCACACUGGGACUGAAACACGGCCCAGACUCCUACGGGAGGCAGCAGUGGGGAAUAUUGCGCAAUGGGCGAAAGCCUGACGCAGCGACGCCGCGUGAGGGAUGAAAGGUUUUCGGAUCGUAAACCUCUGUCAGAAGGGAAGAAACCGCACCGUGCUAAUCAGCGGUGCAUUGACGGUACCUUCAAAGGAAGCACCGGCUAACUCCGUGCCAGCAGCUGC